GAUGAACGCUGGCGGCGUGCCUAAUACAUGCAAGUCGAGCGAACGGACGAGAAGCUUGCUUUUCUGAUGUUAGCGGCGGACGGGUGAGUAACACGUGGAUAACCUACCUAUAAGACUGGGAUAACUUCUGGAAACCGGAGCUAAUACCGGAUAAUAUUUUGAACCGCAUGGUUCAAAAGUGAAAGACGGUCUUGCUGUCACUUAUAGAUGGAUCCGCGCUGCAUUAGCUAGUUGGUAAGGUAACGGCUUACCAAGGCAACGAUGCAUAGCCGACCUGAGAGGGUGAUCGGCCACACUGGAACUGAGACACGGUCCAGACUCCUACGGGAGGCAGCAGUAGGGAAUCUUCCGCAAUGGGCGAAAGCCUGACGGAGCAACGCCGCGUGAGUGAUGAAGGUCUUCGGAUCGUAAAACUCUGUUAUUAGGGAAGAACAUAUGUGUAAGUAACUGUGCACAUCUUGACGGUACCUAAUCAGAAAGCCACGGCUAACUACGUG
RNAcentral lists this ribosomal RNA (497 nucleotides) under uncultured bacterium. RNAcentral describes it as "partial 16S ribosomal RNA". It matches the Rfam family "Bacterial small subunit ribosomal RNA", at positions 28 to 507 of the family's 1533-position model. The record is from RNAcentral.